GAUGAACGCUGGCGGCGUGCCUAAUACAUGCAAGUCGAACGUGAGCUUCAUUUCGGUGGAGUGAAAGUGGCGAACGGGUGAGUAACACAUGGCUGACCUGCCCUUCAGCGGGGGAUAACUACUGGAAACGGUGGCUAAUACCGCAUACGUUCGUGGGGAUUAGAAGCCCAUGAGGAAAGCGUAAGCACUGAAGGAGGGGGCUGUGACCCAUCAGCUAGUUGGUAGGGUAAGAGCCUACCAAGGCGAGGACGGGUAGGGGGCCUGAGAGGGUGACCCCCCACACUGGCACUGAGAGACGGGCCAGACUCCUACGGGAGGCAG
This 321-nucleotide ribosomal RNA is filed under the name uncultured bacterium. Its description in RNAcentral is "bacterial SSU rRNA". It matches the Rfam family "Bacterial small subunit ribosomal RNA", at positions 28 to 351 of the family's 1533-position model. The record is from RNAcentral.